CUAAUACAUGCAAGUCGAACGGAGAGUGCCUGAUAAUUUAUUAUCGGGUGUCUCUUAGUGGCGAACGGGUGAGUAACGCGUUGGUGACCUGCCCCGAAGCGCGGGAUAACUCCGGGAAACUGGAGCUAAUACCGCAUGUGGUCACGGUUAUUAGAAAACCGUGUCUAAAGGACCUCGGUUCACUUCGGGAGGGACCUGCGUCCCAUCAGCUAGUUGGUAGGGUAAUGGCCUACCAAGGCGAAGACGGGUAGGGGACCUGAGAGGGUGGCCCCCCACAAUAGUACUGAAACACGGACCAUACAUCUACGGAUGGCAGCAGUAGGGAAUAUUGCCCAAUGGACGAAAGUCUGAGGCAGCAACGCCGCGUGUGCGAUGAAGGUCUUCGGACUGUAAAGCACUUUUCUGAGGGAAGAGGAAGGACGGUACCUCAGGAAUAAGUCUCGGCUAACUACGUGCCAGCAGCCGCGGUAACACGUAGGAGGCAAGCGUUAUCCGGAUUUACUGGGCGUAAAGCGCGUGCAGGCGGUUUGGUAAGUUGGAUGUGAAAGCUCCCGGCUCAACUGGGAGAGGCCGUUCAAUACUGCCAGACUAGAGGACGGUAGAGGGAGGUGGAAUUCCCGGUGUAGUGGUGAAAUGCGUAGAUAUCGGGAGGAACACCAGUGGCGAAAGCGGCCUCCUAGGCCGUUCCUGACGCUAAGACGCGAAAGCAUGGGUAGCAAACGGGAUUAGAAACCCCGGUAGUCCAUGCCGUAAACGAUGCAAACUUGGUGUUGGUGGUGUAAAAACGUCAGUACCGCAGCUAACGCGAUAAGUUGCCGCC
This 820-nucleotide ribosomal RNA is filed under the name uncultured Chloroflexota bacterium. RNAcentral's name for it is "bacterial SSU rRNA". It matches the Rfam family "Bacterial small subunit ribosomal RNA", at positions 48 to 873 of the family's 1533-position model. The record is from RNAcentral. Lineage: Bacteria; Bacillati; Chloroflexota.